GAUGAACGCUGGCGGCGUGCCUAAUACAUGCAAGUCGAGCGAACGGACGAGAAGCUUGCUUCUCUGAUGUUAGCGGCGGACGGGUGGGUAACACGUGGAUAACCUCCCUAUAAUACUGGGAUAACUUCGGGAAACCGGAGCUAAUACCGGAUAAUCUUUUGAACCGCAUGGUUCAAUAGUGAAAGACGGUCUUGCUGUCACUUAUAGAUGGUUCCGCGCUUCAUUAGCUAGUUGGUAAGGUAACGGUUUACCAAGGCAACGAUGCAUAAACGAACGGAGAGGGUGAUCGGCGACACUGGAGCUGAGACACGGACAAGACUCCUACGGGAGGCAGCAGUAGGGAAUGUUCCGCAAUAGGCGAAAGCAUGACGGAGCAACGCCGCGUGAGUGAUGACGGCCUUCGGAUCGUGAAGCUCUGUUAUUAGGGAAGAACAUAUGUGUACGUAACUGUGCACAUCUUGACGGUACCUAAUAAGAAAGCACCGGCUAACUACGUG
RNAcentral lists this ribosomal RNA (497 nucleotides) under uncultured bacterium. RNAcentral describes it as "partial 16S ribosomal RNA". It matches the Rfam family "Bacterial small subunit ribosomal RNA", at positions 28 to 507 of the family's 1533-position model. The record is from RNAcentral.